This 274-nucleotide ribosomal RNA is filed under the name uncultured Lachnospiraceae bacterium. RNAcentral describes it as "partial 16S ribosomal RNA". It matches the Rfam family "Bacterial small subunit ribosomal RNA", at positions 72 to 339 of the family's 1533-position model. Lineage: Bacteria; Bacillati; Bacillota; Clostridia; Lachnospirales; Lachnospiraceae. The record is from RNAcentral.
AUUUCUUCGGAAUGAAGUUUUAGUGACUGAGUGGCGGACGGGUGAGUAACGCGUGGGUAACCUGCCUCACACAGGGGGAUAACAGUUGGAAACGGCUGCUAAUACCGCAUAAGCGCACAGCAUCGCAUGGGACAGUGUGAAAAACUCCGGUGGUGUGAGAUGGACCCGCGUCUGAUUAGCUAGUUGGUGGGGUAACGGCUCACCAAGGCGACGAUCAGUAGCCGACCUGAGAGGGUGAUCGGCCACAUUGGGACUGAGACACGGCCCAAACUCC